ACGCUUUCGGUAUGCUUAACACAUGCAAGUCGAACGGAUUUAUUUAGAGCUUGCUUUAAAUAAAUUAGUGGCAGACGGGUGAGUAACACGUGGGAAUCUGCCCAUCAGUACGGAAUAACAUUUAGAAAUAAUUGCUAAUACCGUAUAUUCUCUUUGGAGGAAAGAUUUAUCGGUGAUGGAUGAGCCCGCGCCAGAUUAGGUAGUUGGUAGGGUAAUGGCCUACCAAGCCAAUGAUCUGUAGCUGGUUUGAGAGAAUGAUCAGCCACACUGGAACUGAGACACGGCCCAGACUCCUACGGGAGGCAGCAGUGGGGAAUAUUGGACAAUGGGCGAAAGCCUGAUCCAGCAGUGCCGCGUGAGUGAUGAAGGCCUUAGGGUUGUAAAGCUCUUUUACCCGGGAUGAUAAUGACAGGACCGGGAGAAUAAGCUCCGGCUAACUCCGUGCCAGCAGCCGCGGUAAUACGAAUCGAAUUCCC
Molecule: ribosomal RNA, 476 nt
Filed under: uncultured Alphaproteobacteria bacterium
Lineage: Bacteria; Pseudomonadati; Pseudomonadota; Alphaproteobacteria
Description: bacterial SSU rRNA
Rfam family: Bacterial small subunit ribosomal RNA
Source: RNAcentral